AGACAGGGUUUCUCUGUGUAGCUUUGCGCCUUUCCUGGAUCUCGCUCUGUAGACCAGGCUGGCCUCGAACUCACAGAGAUCCGCCUGCCUCUGCCUCCUGAGUGCUGGGAUUAAAGGCGUGCGCCACCACCGCCCGGCCAUGCCAGUGAUCGUAAGUCUUACAGGGCAUUCCUACACCUAGAGAGCUGCUCUUCCUCAAUGACAUUAAACUCUGAGAAUAUAAAUAAUAAUUAUAUGGAAAGAAUAGAUCGCAGAAUCAACGUAAAAGACCUGUUUUAAUAGAGGAAUGCUGGCUCAGAAGACACUCUCCCAAGGUGGUACACCUUGGCUCCCUGAGUACUUUUAGCUUGAGGACACUGGAAAGCCUUCUGAAGUGUCGUCCUGCCCCUUAGUCCUCCCCAAAGGGAGUCAGAAAGCAGAAUUCCUCUGUCCCAUGCUGAGUCAUAGAAACUAGAACCUUCUUCUUCUCCUCCUUCUCCUCCUGCUCUCUCUCUCUGUUAUUAAUAGUCUGCUUUUCUUUUUAAAAUUUAUUUUAUGUAUGUGAGUGGUAUGUGUACCACGUGCCCACAGAAGUCAGAGGACCAUGUUGGCUUCCCUGGAACUGGAGUUACAGUGUUGUGAGCCACCAUGUGGGUGCUGGGAAUUGAACUCAGGUCCCCUGCAAGAGCAGCCAGUGCUUUUAACCACUGAUCCAUCUCUCUGGCCCUCCUUUUUUUUUAAGCAAGGCACAAGCUGAAGAAUGUGGCUACCCUCCCCCUCCCCUUCCUGUCUGAGCAAGAAGAAAUUCUCUGGCCUUCCUUAUCUGAUAAGCCAUUCCAGAAGUAUCCUGCCCUACAUCUGGGAGGAAGGAAUGCGACACAGAAAGGUAAGGAAGAAUCUUGACACACAGACCUGGCUAGGUUCCCGCUCAACCUGUCACACUAGCUCACCCCUGUCUAAUUACAGUUUGGAACAGCUGUCCAUUCUUCAGUGAAAACGAACAAUCUUCCCUAGAUCUUUGUUUUUCAUUCUGAGGACUCCCGUGUCAUGUAAAAUAUUGAUUAAAUAGAUCUGUUAUGCUUUUCUCUCUUUCAUUUAUUGUGUCUGUAAUAAUGCAUGAGUCAAAAGGGCAGAUAACUCAUGGAAUUUUAAAUUCAUUGUUGUUUUUUUUUCAUAUUUUCCUUGGUAUCAAGUGUCUAGGGUAGAGUAAUUAGUUAUGGUUAAUAUAGAUUGUUAACUUGACAAAAUUAGAAUCACCUAGUAGACAAAUCAUGACCAUAUCUGUGAGGGAGUUUCUAGACUGGGUUAUUGUGUUAGGAAGAAAUACCUUAAAUGUGAGCCUCACCAGUCCAGGAGCUGGAAUUCUAGACUGGAUAAACAGAAGAGCCCAGCCCAGCAUUCCUCUCCCCCUGCAACAUUCCUCUCAUCCUGUGGAUGCCACGUGACCAGAUGCUCCGGGUGCCUGCCACUGACUCCCCCGCCCUGGACCGUGAGUCAAAGGGACCCUUCCUUCCAUAAACUGAUUUAUCAGGAUUCUGUCACAGCCACGAAGAAGGAACUCAUGCAACACUCAAUAACCAAUCAUUGACCAGAAUUAUUGUGGAAUAUUAGCACAAAACUGGAAAUAAACAGACUACAGUAUUCAAAGGAUACUGGGAAAUUCUUGGGGUGCCAUGCCAGUUUUUUUUAAAGCUUCAAAUGUCUUUCUAUAUCAUUGCAGAACUAGAGAAAUUCCUUCACUCUGGACUUUAAUUAUUAUCAUUCUUAAGUGACGGUGUGUUAUAAGUUCCAUAGAUUAAAGUCUCAUUGUUCUACAUUGUUCUGCGUUCCCGUGACUGAGCCCCAGGCUUAGGACACAGGAAUCACUCCAUAGAUGUGGUUUGUGGGUUUUGUUUUUGUUUUUGUUUUUAAUAGCCCCAUGGAAGUGCUUUCCAGUCGCCAUUUUGUAUAAGAUUUGCCAUUUCCCCUCGGAACACCAGCUGGUUGUGUAGCUGCCUCUUAGGCUAAAAUGAAAUACAACAAGCUCUCUAACUUUGGUCCAGAUUAGCUCUUAACAUUUAUAAGACAGGAGUAGUCAGUGUGCCAGUGAGGAUACCGCCCAGCCCAGCCCUGUGACUGAGGAAGCAAGCUUUCAUAGACAAUCAAUAAACCUCUCUCUCACCAGAAAGAAAUUGUCAUUAUAAUAUCUUGGGUGCCUCUCACAACUUCUUUCCCUUCUAAGAGGAAAGUGUUUUUAAGUAUUUGUUCUUUUGAGAGCUUACAGAUGGCAAUGACUUCCACGCCUGUUUAAUUCUAGUAACACACUGCAUGAUCCUAACCAAAUUCCAAAUGGCAUCGGCUGACUGGAGUUGGAAAAGAGGAUGCUCACAAAAGUGCGUGCCAAAGGCCUGUCAAUUACAGUCUGAAAUAGGAGGCAAAGCUGUGGAUGGAAAAGCCGUCGCAGACACAGGGAGGCUCUGCAGCUAGGCAGACAGCAAGGCUUGCUUGGGUGACACUGAACAGGUCGGCAUAGAGAAAACAGCACUUGCCAACGAGGGAAGACAAAACUGACGGAUUUGAAAGCACUCCAUGAGAAGAUGAAUGUGGAACAUUUACUCCCCUCAAAGAAGAGAUUACAAUUGGCAAGAGUCUGAAAGUGAUUAGUGCUUACAGAAGACACCAUGCAACAAAAAUGUCUGCUUCAUUAUGAAAAACACCCAAAGAGCUCCAGUCCAAGAAGAGACAAAGACCAUCUGUGGUGGAGAAAAUGAGCGGAGGCCACCGCUGGUGGAGUGGGGUGGGGGCUUAAGUGUGACAAGAAAGGGGAGGCUUUAGAAUGUCAUCAUGCUACAGUCUAAUCGA
Peromyscus californicus insignis is the source of this 2820-nucleotide long non-coding RNA. RefSeq lists it as uncharacterized. The transcript is spliced from 2 exons. Lineage: Eukaryota; Metazoa; Chordata; Mammalia; Rodentia; Cricetidae. The record is from RefSeq and is a predicted model, not a curated record.